UACGUAGGAGGCAAGCGUUGUCCGGAAUUACUGGGUGUAAAGCGCGUGUAGGCGGCAGGCCAAGUCUGUGGUGAAAUCGCUCGGCUCAACUGGGCGGGGUCCAUGGAAACUGGUCAGCUGGAGGACGGUAGAGGUGAGUGGAAUUCCCGGUGUAGUGGUGAAAUGCGUAGAGAUCGGGAGGAACACCGGUGGCGAAGGCGGUUCUCUGGGCCUUACCUGACGCUGAGGAGCGAAAGCGUGGGGAGCGAACAGG
RNAcentral lists this ribosomal RNA (253 nucleotides) under uncultured bacterium. Its description in RNAcentral is "partial 16S ribosomal RNA". It matches the Rfam family "Bacterial small subunit ribosomal RNA", at positions 524 to 776 of the family's 1533-position model. The record is from RNAcentral.